CCUUUUGUAGUUUAAAAUAAAAUAUCACCUUUUCAAUGUGAAGAAGUCUCUUAUCCAAAAGUU
Molecule: transfer RNA, 63 nt
Filed under: Cyamophila willieti
Lineage: Eukaryota; Metazoa; Arthropoda; Insecta; Hemiptera; Psyllidae
Description: tRNA-Glu
Source: RNAcentral